Long non-coding RNA from Hyla sarda, 718 nucleotides. RefSeq lists it as uncharacterized. The transcript is spliced from 4 exons. NCBI's taxonomy places the organism in Eukaryota, Metazoa, Chordata, Amphibia, Anura, Hylidae. The record is from RefSeq and is a predicted model, not a curated record.
CCACAACUUACUUUAUGUUUGCAGAGACAGCACAGUGCCAUGUUUUCUGUAUCUGAUAAGAAUUUCCACACGGCAGAAUACCGGACAGUGCUCUCUGCUGACACCUGAUGCCUCGGCUGUCCGGGCAUGCUGGGAGUUGUAGUUUUGCAACAGCUGGAGGCACCCUGGUUGGGAAACACUGGUCAAGAGGCUGGAGAAUAGGGAGAUCGUUCCAGAAGAAUGAGGAAGAUGCCAGCCCCAUAAUCCACCAGAGGAUGUAAGGUAGAAACAUACUUGUCCUCCAUCCUACAGGCUGAAUAAGGAAACUUUAAGCCAUUUGCUAUGGGAAUGUAUUCAUGGUCCUGGGCUGUGUGUGAUGAGAGCCUGGAGGAGGACAGUAAGGAUGUGCAGAGACUGGAGGCUGGAGAUGUGACUGUAUACUGACUGCAAGAAUGAAGCUACUAUAAGAGGAGGAGUAGACCAGAAGAAUGAGGAGCUGCCCCCACCAUGACUACUGGCGGAGCUAAAGCGCCCAAUUACACCACAUCCAGUGUGGUACUACGACUCCUAUCCAUACAAAGCAGUCUUGGCAGGCUUAAAGGGGUUCUCCAGCAUAAGAUACAUCAGAAUUGUCAGAUUCUGCUGUGGACAGUGUGGGACCUUCUCGUCCACGUAAUCCGUCCUCCAAAAGGAAAUCAAAAAACGCAGCCGGAGGGCUGAUAGAAAACACCGGCCCAAG